GAAAAACCUGAGUGGAUUUAUUUGCUAUAGAUCUUUGUAAGACAAGUUUCCCUUCCCUGCAUUCAUCAUCUGCUCUCAGAUUACCUGCAGAAGCUGUUUUGCUAUCCAAAAGCAGGGGAAGGAGUGGAAAGGUGGGGAAAUUUUUCUCAGUGAAGUUAGAUGGAGCAGGCCAUACAGAUGGACAAAAAAGCUCAUGCAAGUGACAAAUUAAUGGACCGAAUUGUUCCUGGAGUACCUCUUGAUUACCAGGCCUAGUGAAAUAGUUGAUAUGUCAGAUGCCAAUGGUACUAGAAAACCUACUACAGCAGUAUGAAAAGAAGACAACAUCUCUGACUUUGGACAUCUGGUUUCAAGUCUCAGUUUAGCUGCUUCAUUAAGCAAAUUGCAACGUGUCUUUGCACAUAGCCUACCUGUGAAGUGCAGAUAAUGUUUGUAGUGAUAGCAAUUACAGUAGAGAUUGAGUGGCCCCAACAAUGCAAUGUUUGCUAAAGGUUGAUAAAACAAGGUUCAUUGCACCUGGGACAGGGACCAUCUGUGACUAAGAGUAGAGUGUAGAAAGAAAAAUUUCUAAAAUCCUGCAGGAGAAUCAAUGGAGUUUGCACGACACAGAAGAAGGCCACUUAUCUCAAAGGAUGGGAGUGUGCCAGUAGAGUAUGUAGGAAGACAAGAAGAAGAGCAUGGCUUGGAGUGAGAAGUUGGGUAUUUGUCUUAUAAAAUGUUGGCUGUCACAACCCUUAGUGCCUGUCUACAUACUAGCUGCAAAAAGGACAGUUUCAAGCUGCAACAGAUGAGCAAUUACAGAAUUACUGAAGGUAAGAAUGACUGAAGGUAAGAAAGUCAAAACAGAUUCUUCUUAACAAUGCCAUUUCCUUCCUGUAUUAGAGACUGAUCUGAGGCAGAAAUAGCCAGAUCUCCACAAAACCAUAAUUAUGUGGAUAAAACGUAAUGGCCAGGCAGAGCUCAAUAGGUACCUG
Parus major (Great Tit) is the source of this 974-nucleotide long non-coding RNA. The record is from Ensembl. NCBI's taxonomy places the organism in Eukaryota, Metazoa, Chordata, Aves, Passeriformes, Paridae.